GGACCCAGCAAUAAAAAGUUAUCCUUAAAGAUAACUCAGAGCAGAUGAGAACCGUGAGAAACAAGCAGUAGUUACUACAUAUAAGGUCAAUGCUACAGGACACAUAAACGUGGGUGAUGUGGCCAUCGCAGUGAGAACUGAGAACUCCUCCCUAAGAAGGGAACUUGAAAGGCAGGGAGGGAGGCAGCCCCGCCAAGAUCUGAGGUCAGCUGCUUCUAACAUCACGAAAGCUGGGGACUUAGCAUACAGGACGGGACUAUGAAUACUUAAAAGAGCCGGUCAUGGAGGCGACAGUGCUUAUGGAGAGACGAAUGGCCAUGGUCAGCAGUUCAGGCGAGCCCUCUGGGAAACACAGCCUGCAGUCAGCGGAACCUUCAAGCCACUUAACCGAAUAUGCAAGUGAAGAAUCGUAAGUUUGAGGAGAGGGUAAAAAUGCCAUUUCAGUGGAAGAGAUUGUUCAACACGUGAGGGAGCACGGUUUCCACGCCCAGCAUCACCUAAUUAUUUAAAAACUAGGAAAUUCGUAGAGAGGCAAGGACUAGCUCUGAAUUACACUCCUAGGGAAAGACGGAGUGUGCGUGGGGACAGAUUAUCUAACUGGAAAGCCGGCGAGCCCCAGGCAGGGGAACACCAUUCGCCUGUAGGUUCCUUAGGUCCUAGGGACACGAACGUCACAGCCAGCUGAAACCCGAGGGCCAAGUCCACUCUGGCGGAGGCCAAAGCCCCGCGAAGUCAGAGUGGGCGAUCUCCGGCCUCUUUUAGAACCAGGGACCCAGACCGGCUCGGCCAGGUCAGGCCUCGGCGCGGAACAGCGCUCACGCUGCGGGCCCCGGCGCGCCGAGAACGGACGCGCGGGCUUGACCAAUCCGCGGACGCCUACGCGGCGGCGCGACCAAUCCCAGCAACGCUGGAAGGGAAGGGGCGGGAGCUCGAGAAGCUCGCGUGAGGCCGAGCCCCAAGCUGCCCCAGCUUCCCGGAGCGGUCAGGCCCGACCCAGAGGCGGCGUGCGGGGAAGACCAGGCGCGCGUCCUCGGGCUGAGGCCCAGAUCCACCUCCCAGCGAUCGGCCCCUCCCUCAGCCGCGUCCCCGCGGCCACCCUGCUCGCUCCAUGCCUCACCUCGUGGGGACGCCGAGACCGAGGAGGGAAUCCCAAGCGAGAGCUGCAGCCGACACUACCCCACUCCAGCCGCUGCUCCGCCUCACAUUCAAACCCUGGCAAAAUGGCGCGGCGGCUAAGGUGGCGGCCACUGCGCAUGUGCGAGUGAGACCGGGACGCGGGGUGGAGCCAGGAAUGCUUUGGCCCCACCCCGGCUGCGAGGGCCAAUCGGAACCAUUGCUCGGGUCUGCGGUGACGUCACAAGAGACCGUGCCUUUUGACGCAGGCUUCUGUUUUGGGUUUCUUUCCUCAGACCCUAGCAGGUUCUGCGAGUGGCUCCUAGUGGCUUCUAACUGUUGGAUGGAACGUGCUCGUUCACGCCUGAGCGAAGGGACAGAGCAGAGCGUCUGUUCUAGGACAAAUAGAAUAAACGAAUGAGUAAGAAUUUCAAGCUAGGGGAUAGCACGCUUGGUUAAGCAAGUGAUAGCUGCGCAAGGAAGAAGACGGGAGUUCGAAUCCCCAGCACCCACAUAAAAGCCAGCCUGACUACAAUUCCGUACCUGGGGAGGCAGACACAGGAAGAUCGCUGGGGCUUACUGGCCGGCCUGUCUAGCUAAUUGCAUGGAAGAUCAUUCUGAAAAGACGCAUCUCCUAUCGCGGGCUCCAUGGAAGACCAUUUCUUCUAUUUCCAUUCAGACGGAUGUGGGCACAUCCGCUCAUACUUGCAGAGAACAAGUGUCCUUUGGCCCAAUGAGGGACCACCGUGGAAGAGAACACAGAGGGAACUGAGAGCUGGAGAAGGCGCUGUUGAGGGACACCCACCGCUUCCGGGCAUGGCAUGGCUGGCUCCUGCAGUCUUGAACCCACAGCUACUGUACUAGAAGCAUGAAGGCACACUGGGACUCCCAGACUACCCAAACAACGGACCCCAGCAAGUUAGAUGUCUCCAAGAAUCUCAAGUUAGGAAACGAAAAAGCCUGGACAAACCAGAGGGGAGCCCUCCCAGGGACACCCUCCCCCCCAGCCCCACCCCCAGACUUGUUAGACUUCCUUGCAAUGGACUGGACCUGAGAGGAGGGUCAGCGGUUGGUGGGACCACACCUUGACCACAACUGCGGUUAUGAAUACUUCUUGCCUUCUACUUUAAGGUUUUUGUUUUGUUUUGUUUUGUUUUGUUUUUUCGAGACAGGGUUUCUCUGUAUAGCCCUGGCUGUCCUGGAACUCACUUUGUAGACCAGGCUGGCCUUGAACUCAGAAAUCCGACUGCCUCUGCCUCCUGAGUACUGGGAUCAAAGGUGUGUGCCACCACGCCCGGCUUUUAAGUUUUAUUUUAUGAUUGUGUGAGUGUGGGGGAACACCCCGUGUGGAGGCCAGAGGAACCAUUGUGGAGCGAGUUCUCUGUAUCCCCCUUUACGUGGACCCAGAGGUCAGACCCAGGUCACCAGGCUUGCAGGACAAGCACUUAUACCUACACCAUCCUCUCUGCCCAAACGGAAACUAAGAGUUUGUGUCUGCCAUGCCAACAAACUCAAACUAGCCUAACCCGUGGCUUGACAGGAUAUAAAUGAUGACACUGGGAGCAGCUUUACUUUUUAAAACUUUAUUGAUUUUUUCCACCUGAUCAAAGCAUGGGGUAUUUAACAGUAUUAUACAUAAUAUUUUUUUACAUAGAAAACUUUACAUAGCAUUUCAUAUUAUAUAAUUCUGCUUUAUUCUUUCAAAAAUGUUUACAUCCAUUGGGCAAGGAAUGCUUUUCAUUAAAUUACCAAUAUUAAA
Molecule: long non-coding RNA, 2872 nt
Organism: Mus musculus (house mouse)
Lineage: Eukaryota; Metazoa; Chordata; Mammalia; Rodentia; Muridae
Product: predicted gene, 31204
Exons: 3
Source: RefSeq, a predicted model, not a curated record